GACGAACGCUGGCGGCGUGCUUAACACAUGCAAGUCGAACGGAAAGGCCUGUCCUUCCUUGUGUUGGACGGGUACUCGAGUGGCGAACGGGUGAGUAACACGUGAGUGAUCUGCCCCCAACUUGGGUAUAAGCCUGGGAAACUGGGUCUAAUUCCCGAUAGGACUGCAGGGUGGUGCCUGUGGUGGAAAACGAUUUUCUAGUGGUUGGGGAUGAGCUCGCGGCCUAUCAGCUUGUUGGUGGGGUAAUGGCCUACCAAGGCGGCGACGGGUAGCCGGCCUGAGAGGGUGGACGGCCACAGUGGGACUGAGAUACGGCCCAGACUCCUAAGGGAGGCAGCAGUGGGGAAUAUUGCACAAUGGGCGGAAGCCUGAUGCAGCGACGCCGCGUGGGGGAUGACGGCCUUCGGGUUGUAAACUCCUUUCGACCGCGAGGAAGCCGCCUGGUUGGAAGGGUGGUGACGGUAGUGGUAGAAGAAGCACCGGCUAACUACGUG
This 494-nucleotide ribosomal RNA is filed under the name uncultured bacterium. RNAcentral describes it as "partial 16S ribosomal RNA". It matches the Rfam family "Bacterial small subunit ribosomal RNA", at positions 28 to 507 of the family's 1533-position model. The record is from RNAcentral.